AGAGCGAACGCUGGCGGCAGGCCUAACACAUGCAAGUCGAGCGCCCGUAGCAAUACGGGAGCGGCAGACGGGAUAGUAACACGUGGGAACGCGCCCUUCGGUUCGGAAUAACUCAGGGAAACUUGAGCUAAUACCGGACAUUCACUUUCUCCUGCAUGGGUGAUGGUGGAAAGUUUUUCGGCCAGGGAGGGGCUCGCGGCCUAUCAGCUUGUUGGCGGGGUAACGGCCCACCGAAGGCGACGACGGGUAGCCGG
Molecule: ribosomal RNA, 254 nt
Filed under: uncultured bacterium
Lineage: Bacteria
Description: partial small subunit ribosomal RNA
Rfam family: Bacterial small subunit ribosomal RNA
Source: RNAcentral